Molecule: ribosomal RNA, 514 nt
Filed under: uncultured bacterium
Lineage: Bacteria
Description: partial 16S ribosomal RNA
Rfam family: Bacterial small subunit ribosomal RNA
Source: RNAcentral
GACGAACGCUGGCGGCGUGCCUAAUACAUGCAAGUCGAGCGGACCGAAGGGAGCUUGCUCCUUUAGGUUAGCGGCGGACGGGUGAGUAACACGUGGGCAACCUGCCCUGCAGACUGGGAUAACUUCGGGAAUCCGGAGCUAAUACCGGAUAACACCGAAAACCGCAUGGUUUUCGGUUGAAAGGCGGCUUUUAGCUGUCACUGCAGGAUGGGCCCGCGGCGCAUUAGCUAGUUGGUGAGGUAACGGCUCACCAAGGCGACGAUGCGUAGCCGACCUGAGAGGGUGACCGGCCACACUGGGACUGAGACACGGCCCAGACUCCUACGGGAGGCAGCAGUAGGGAAUCUUCCGCAAUGGACGAAAGUCUGACGGAGCAACGCCGCGUGAGCGAAGAAGGUCUUCGGAUCGUAAAGCUCUGUUGUCAGGGAAGAACAAGUACCGUUCGAACAGGGCGGUACCUUGACGGUACCUGACGAGGAAGCCACGGCUAACUACGUGCCAGCAGCCGCCGUAA